This 501-nucleotide ribosomal RNA is filed under the name uncultured bacterium. Its description in RNAcentral is "partial 16S ribosomal RNA". It matches the Rfam family "Bacterial small subunit ribosomal RNA", at positions 30 to 523 of the family's 1533-position model. The record is from RNAcentral.
AUUGAACGCUGGCGGCAGGCUUAACACAUGCAAGUCGAGCGGGGGAAGGUAGCUUGCUACUGGACCUAGCGGCGGACGGGUGAGUAAUGCUUAGGAAUCUGCCUAUUAGUGGGGGACGACAUCUCGAAAGGGAUGCUAAUACCGCAUACGUCCUACGGGAGAAAGCAGGGGAUCUUCGGACCUUGCGCUAAUAGAUGAGCCUAAGUCGGAUUAGCUAGUUGGUGGGGUAAGGGCCUACCAAGGCGACGAUCUGUAGCGGGUCUGAGAGGAUGAUCCGCCACACUGGGACUGAGACACGGCCCAGACUCCUACGGGAGGCAGCAGUGGGGAAUAUUGGACAAUGGGGGGAACCCUGAUCCAGCCAUGCCGCGUGUGUGAAGAAGGCCUUAUGGUUGUAAAGCACUUUAAGCGAGGAGGAGGCUACUUUAGUUAAUACCUAGAGAUAGUGGACGUUACUCGCAGAAUAAGCACCGGCUAACUCUGUGCCAGCCGCCGCGGUAA